Harpia harpyja (harpy eagle) is the source of this 1721-nucleotide long non-coding RNA. RefSeq lists it as uncharacterized. The transcript has 3 exons. NCBI's taxonomy places the organism in Eukaryota, Metazoa, Chordata, Aves, Accipitriformes, Accipitridae. The record is from RefSeq and is a predicted model, not a curated record.
CGGGCACAAGCCCGACCCCACAGCAUGGAGAGGAAAAACCCGGUCCAGUCUGGAGCAUCCGCCUGGGCCGGCCGACACGUCUCUUAUCUAGUUUUCCCACUUGACCAACAAGCUGGAGGAGCUGUUACCUCCUUAACUGUAAGAUCACCCUGGGUUCAACAGGACUGCUGAUGUGCUCUCUGUUUACAGAGAAAAUGGAGACGCGGCCCUCCAUGCCCCAUGGGACAACACGUUCAUCCUCAGAAGGGGGUUGUCGCUGUGGGUACCGUGUGUUGAAUAUGGACCCUCCCCAGCUGGAUCCCAGCCCAUGCAAAGGAUGCACCUUUCUGGGCUUUGGAUCUGGCUCAACAAUCCCAAAUUCAGACUUUCCUCUGCUUUCUCACCUUUGAUUUCAUAGCCCUACAGACAGGAUUCCCCAAAGUACACUACCUACCAAGAAGGGAGACAUCCCCUCGUUCAGAUGUUGUCCUUACUGCAAAGUUCGUGAUACCUCUCCCAGUCUUGAAGAGGAUUUACCAGGGGAAGCAGGUGAGGGAGUUAAAAGGCUACAGCUGCUCCUCCCCACCCCUGUUAGCAACCCCAGUGCUAACUUGCACCCAGCUUUGCUGGUAAGUGAUAGUCACCUGGCUGUGCACCCCAAGAACAGAAGCAUCUGCUUCGCUUCCAGGCAACAGGGUCUGCUGAUAGUCAGUCACAGUACAGGAGAAUGUGGUAAUAAUUCAUGUGCGUAUAAAUCAAAUGAUGCAUUUAAAAAUCCAGCAGAAUAAGUGGAUAUUUUUUUUCCUCCCCCAAAAUACAUUGUAGAUCAAAGCUUAAUUAAUUUGGGAAAUGUUGUGGCUUGCAUAUGUAGACAAAUUUAGAAGAUCAUAUUAUUCCCUUCUGGCGAUAUAAUCUAUGAGUGAGGUUUUCUGCAAUACACUACCCUUUCUUGAUUAUGCAGCUUUUUCAGAAAAGUCCUAUUAUUUUUUUCAUGUAAAUACAACCAGAGGAAGAUGGCUUUUGAUUUAUACACAAAUCAAUACUCCCUUCUGAUUGAACUCGCGCUGCGCUGCUGUAAUUAUAUUCAUGGAUUUUGUGUAGGUGUAAGACAGGAAGCAAUUAUCAGCCUCAGCCAUGAGCGCAUAUAAAAGAAAUCUCACUUUUCUUUGGAACCAUAACAUUAACGACAUUCUCUAUCUAACAUCAGCCCCUUUCACAUGACUUCUGCUAACUGCACUGUUGUUUAGCUGAGGAAAAAGUAAUAGCAGAUAGCUGUGAUUAAAUAACAUCUGCAUGAAUUUAGGGUGCUGCAGUGUUUGGAGCUUUGCCUUGCUGAAAAAAGCCAAUGUUUUUAAUUUGUAUCAAAACAGGUGAUGGGUUUAAUUCAAGCAUUUUCUUUUCUAUUGAGCUGAAAGCUAAUCAUGGCUGUAAUUCAUUCCUUAGUGAUUCUCUGCAAUGGCAGGUGUUGCAGGAGCAUUUAAGGAAAGUGUCAUCAAGGCAGUUUCACUGGGAAAAGGCAUGGUAAAAUAAAUGCGUAAAUAGUCUGCUUAAAGAUGGUCUGAAUCAUUUUAAUUACCAGCACUCAGUCACCGGUGGGCUCUGGAGGGGUAGCAUUGUAACACCGGCAUUGUUACUGUAAAAAAAAUCUGUCACCUGGACAGUAGUAUGCCACCUCUGACAUUGAAAUGCAUCAGAGUCACCUGGAGGCGAUUGCAAGUGCCCAGCUGAAGUCUUAACUUUGU